GGGUCAGUAGGUUGGUCGUGCCACCGGUACGUACUGGUCUCACUGAUUCCUCCUUCCUGAAGAACCGUAAUGCCAUUAAUUUGGUGUUGCGGGGAAACAGGACUGUUACUUUGAAAAAAUUAGAGUGUUUAAAGCAAGCUAACGCUUGAAUACAUAAGCAUGGAAUAAUGAAAUAGGACGAUCGAUCCUAUUUUGUUGGUUUCUAGGAUUGACGUA
This 216-nucleotide ribosomal RNA is filed under the name Glomeromycotina sp. Its description in RNAcentral is "partial small subunit ribosomal RNA". The stretch from base 40 to 216 matches the Rfam family "Eukaryotic small subunit ribosomal RNA", at positions 686 to 864 of the family's 1831-position model. The record is from RNAcentral. Lineage: Eukaryota; Fungi; Glomeromycota.